Molecule: ribosomal RNA, 515 nt
Filed under: uncultured bacterium
Lineage: Bacteria
Description: partial 16S ribosomal RNA
Rfam family: Bacterial small subunit ribosomal RNA
Source: RNAcentral
GAUGAACGCUGGCGGCGUGCCUAAUACAUGCAAGUCGAGCGAAUGGAUUAAGAGCUUGCUCUUAUGAAGUUAGCGGCGGACGGGUGAGUAACACGUGGUUAACCUGCCCAUAAGACUAGGAUAACUCCGGGAAACCGGGGCUAAUACCGGAUAACAUUUUGAACCGCAUGGUUCGAAAUUGAAAGGCGGCUUCGGCUGUCACUUAUGGAUGGAGCCGCGUCGCAUUAGCUAGUUGGUGAGGUAACGGCUCACCAAGGCAACGAUGCGUAGCCGACCUGAGAGGGUGAUCGGCCACACUGGGACUGAGACACGGCCCAGACUCCUACGGGAGGCAGCAGUAGGGAAUCUUCCGCAAUGGACGAAAGUCUGACGGAGCAACGCCGCGUGAGUGAUGAAGGCUUUCGGGUCGUAAAACUCUGUUGUUAGGGAAGAACAAGUGCUAGUUGAAUAAGCUGGCACCUUGACGGUACCUAACCAGAAAGCCACGGCUAACUACGUGCCAGCAGCCGCGGUAA